RNAcentral lists this ribosomal RNA (496 nucleotides) under uncultured bacterium. Its description in RNAcentral is "partial 16S ribosomal RNA". It matches the Rfam family "Bacterial small subunit ribosomal RNA", at positions 29 to 507 of the family's 1533-position model. The record is from RNAcentral.
AUGAACGCUGGCGGCGUGCCUAAUACAUGCAAGUCGAGCGAACAGACGAGGAGCUUGCUCCUCUGACGUUAGCGGCGGACGGGUGAGUAACACGCGGAUAACCUACCUAUAAGACUGGGAUAACUUCGGGAAACCGGAGCUAAUACCGGAUAAUAUAUUGAACCGCAUGGUUCAAUAGUGAAAGACGGUUUUGCUGUCACUUAUAGAUGGAUCCGCGCCGCAUUAGCUAGUUGGUAAGGUAACGGCUUACCAAGGCAACGAUGCGUAGCCGACCUGAGAGGGUGAUCGGCCACACUGGAACUGAGACACGGUCCAGACUCCUACGGGAGGCAGCAGUAGGGAAUCUUCCGCAAUGGGCGAAAGCCUGACGGAGCAACGCCGCGUGAGUGAUGAAGGUCUUCGGAUCGUAAAACUCUGUUAUUAGGGAAGAACAAAUGUGUAAGUAACUAUGCACGUCUUGACGGUACCUAAUCAGAAAGCCACGGCUAACUACGUG